RNAcentral lists this small RNA (743 nucleotides) under Pongo abelii (Sumatran orangutan). Its description in RNAcentral is "retained intron". Lineage: Eukaryota; Metazoa; Chordata; Mammalia; Primates; Hominidae. The record is from RNAcentral.
AGACUCCGACUGGAUUCCUUAGAGAAAUCCCGCACCCUUCAAAAGCAGGAUGCGGCCACGCCCCCCGGGUGGCACAUUGUGAUUGGUGGGUGGGGUUCGGGAGGUGUCGGCCCUGCCCCCGCUAGGGCUAGAAUGCUGUUCUGAUUGGACCAUCGCCGGGUGGGCGUGACACGACUGUCUGGGCUGGGGCAUCCGCCCACCGGCCUGACCGCGCCGGGCUGCCCUUGCUCAGGACCGUGGACGCGCUGGGUGUGCUGACUGGGGCGCAGCUUUUCUCGCUGCAGAAGGAGGAGCUGCGGGCGGUGAGCCCCGAGGAGGGGGCACGUGUGUACAGCCAGGUCACCGUGCAGCGCGCGCUGCUGGAGGACAAAGAGAAAGUGUCAGAGCUGGAGGCAGUGAUGGAGAAGCAAAAGAAGAAGGUGGAAGGCGAGAUGGAAAUGGAGGUCAUUUGACCUGCCCGGCGCCCUUCGCAAAGAGUGACGAGGCCCCGUGGGAGAACGGACUCUUCAGACUCUCCCCAGUAGCGGAAGUCGAUCUUCUGAAGGAUGGCCAAUCUGCUCCGGCCCUGGUCUUCCCCCAUCCCGGUGGACAGACUUAACAGUCCUUGCUGCAGUCCCUCCGGAGCGGAUCUGGACUGGCUGUGAGUGGGGAAGGCUUGGAGACAGUCUACGGAAAGCGCUAGCAGACCCCCGAGAGGGUGCAGUGGAGCCCUGAGCAUUGUAAUAUGCCGCCCAGCCUAUAAA